AUGGUGGAGGUGGCACACCCGUUCCCUUUCCGAACACGGAAGUUAAGCCCUCUCACGCCGAUGAUACUGCCCCUUCAAGGCGGCGGGAAAGUAGGUCGUCGCCAGGC
RNAcentral lists this ribosomal RNA (107 nucleotides) under Treponema sp. Lineage: Bacteria; Pseudomonadati; Spirochaetota; Spirochaetia; Treponematales; Treponemataceae. The record is from RNAcentral.